UACGAAGGGGGCUAGCGUUGCUCGGAAUCACUGGGCGUAAAGCGCACGUAGGCGGGUUGCCAAGUCGGGGGUGAAAUCCUGGAGCUCAACUCCAGAACUGCCUUCGAUACUGGCGAUCUUGGAGUCCGGGAGAGGUGAGUGGAAUUCCUAGUGUAGAGGUGAAAUUCGUAGAUAUUAGGAAGAACACCAGUGGCGAAGGCGGCUCACUGGUCCGGUACUGACGCUGAGGUGCGAAAGCGUGGGGAGCAAACAGG
RNAcentral lists this ribosomal RNA (254 nucleotides) under uncultured bacterium. RNAcentral describes it as "partial 16S ribosomal RNA". It matches the Rfam family "Bacterial small subunit ribosomal RNA", at positions 524 to 776 of the family's 1533-position model. The record is from RNAcentral.